This 497-nucleotide ribosomal RNA is filed under the name uncultured bacterium. RNAcentral's name for it is "partial 16S ribosomal RNA". It matches the Rfam family "Bacterial small subunit ribosomal RNA", at positions 28 to 507 of the family's 1533-position model. The record is from RNAcentral.
GACGAACGCUGGCGGCGUGCCUAAUACAUGCAAGUAGAACGCUGAAGAGAGGAGCUUGCUCUUCCUGGAUGAGUUGCGAACGGGUGAGUAACGCGUAGGUGACCUGCCUUGUAGCGGGGGAUAACUAUUGGAAACGAUAGCUAAUACCGCAUAACAAUGGAUGACACAUGUCAUUUAUUUGCAAGGGGCAAUUGCUCCACUACAAGAUGGACCUGCGUUGUAUUAGCUAGUAGGUGAGGUAAUGGCUCACCUAGGCGACGAUACAUAGCCGACCUGAGAGGGUGAUCGGCCACACUGGGACUGAGACACGGCCCAGACUCCUACGGGAGGCAGCAGUAGGGAAUCUUCGGCAAUGGGGGCAACCCUGACCGAGCAACGCCGCGUGAGUGAAGAAGGUUUUCGGAUCGUAAAGCUCUGUUGUAAGUCAAGAACGGGUGUGAGAGUGGAAAGUUCACACUGUGACGGUAGCUUAACAGAAAGGGACGGCUAACUACGUG